GACGAACGCUGGCGGCGUGCUUAACACAUGCAAGUCGAACGGAAAGGCCCUGCUUUUGUGGGGUGCUCGAGUGGCGCACGGAUGAGUUACCCGUGAGUAACCUGCCCCUGACUUUGGGAUAACUUCAGGAAACUGGGGCUAAUACCGGAUAGGAGCUCCUGCUGCAUGGUGGGGGUUGGAAAGUUAUGGCGGUUGGGGGUGGACUCGGGGCUUAUCAGCUUGUUGGUGGGGUAGUGGCGUAACAAGGCUUUGACGGGUAGGCGGCCUGGGAGGGUGACCGGGCAAAAUGGGGCUUAGAACAGGGCCAGAACCCUACGGGAAGCAAAAGUGGGGAAUAUUUCGCAAUGGGCGGAAGCCUGUGGCAGAAACGCCGCGUGCGGGAUAUCGGCCUUCUGGGUGUGAACCGCUUUCGCCGGUGACGAAGCGUGAAUGACGGUAAUGGGUAAAGAAGCAACGGCUAACUACGUG
Molecule: ribosomal RNA, 468 nt
Filed under: uncultured bacterium
Lineage: Bacteria
Description: partial 16S ribosomal RNA
Rfam family: Bacterial small subunit ribosomal RNA
Source: RNAcentral